GAGCGUGCCAGGCUGGAACAGGCUGUAAAGGGCUGAAGCAUGUGAGCCAUCCUGACCAAUCAUUCAAAAGGCGCCCCUUGACUCCACACGGUUCAAUAGUGUCCAUUUCCCUUCUUGUAAACCCUUGUGUCUCUCUUAUAAAUAUGUAACCUCACUCAUUAAUAAAAACCAAGCAGUUUGAGUCUUUCUCUUAGUCUUUAAUCUCAAUGGUUACAUAUUAGACUCAUAAUCUCAUUUCAUACUCUAAUCUUCUCUAAAUCGAUUCUAUUCUUCUCUAAACACUCAGAUUACUCUAAACAACACUAAAAGUGUUACAU
Molecule: long non-coding RNA, 317 nt
Filed under: Brassica napus (rape)
Lineage: Eukaryota; Viridiplantae; Streptophyta; Magnoliopsida; Brassicales; Brassicaceae
Description: long non-coding RNA (BNAP_LNC025284)
Source: RNAcentral